AGCGAACGUUAGCGGCGGGCCUAACACAUGCAAGUCGAGCGAGAAAGAGGCUUCGGCCUUGAGUAAAGCGGCGGACGGGUGAGUAACACGUAGGUAAUCUUCCCUUGAGCGGGGGACAACGAGCCGAAAGGCUCGCUAAUACCGCAUAAGUUCUCAGAGACUCCGGUUUUUGAGAGGAAAGCUAGGUAGCAAUAUCCGGCACUCGAGGAGGAGCCUGCGUAGCAUCAGCUAGUUGGUGGGGUAACGGCCUACCAAGGCGAAGACGCUUAGCUGGUCUGAGAGGAUGAUCAGCCACACUGAAACUGAGACACGGUUCAGACUCCUACGGGAGGCAGCAGUGGGGAAUAUUGGACAAUGGGCGCAAGCCUGAUCCAGCCACGCCGCGUGAGUGAUGAAGGCCUUCGGGUCGUAAAGCUCUGUGGGGAGGGACGAACCGCUGCUGGUUAAUACCCAGCAGCAUGACGGUACCUCCUUAGCAAGCACCGGCUAACUUCGUG
This 497-nucleotide ribosomal RNA is filed under the name uncultured bacterium. RNAcentral's name for it is "bacterial SSU rRNA". It matches the Rfam family "Bacterial small subunit ribosomal RNA", at positions 29 to 507 of the family's 1533-position model. The record is from RNAcentral.